UACGUAGGGACAAAGCGUUGUUCGGAUUUACUGGGCGUAAAGGGCGCGUAGGCGGCUUGGCAAGUGGAAGGUGAAAUCCCUCGGCUUAACCGAGGAACUGCCCUCCAAACUGCUUCGCUUGAGACCGGGAGAGGUGAGUGGAAUUCCCAGUGUAGCGGUGAAAUGCGUAGAUAUUGGGAGGAACACCAGUGGCGAAGGCGGCUCACUGGACCGGUACUGACGCUGAUGCGCGAAAGCGUGGGGAGCAAACGGG
RNAcentral lists this ribosomal RNA (253 nucleotides) under uncultured bacterium. RNAcentral's name for it is "partial 16S ribosomal RNA". It matches the Rfam family "Bacterial small subunit ribosomal RNA", at positions 524 to 776 of the family's 1533-position model. The record is from RNAcentral.